RNAcentral lists this ribosomal RNA (465 nucleotides) under uncultured bacterium. Its description in RNAcentral is "partial 16S ribosomal RNA". It matches the Rfam family "Bacterial small subunit ribosomal RNA", at positions 28 to 507 of the family's 1533-position model. The record is from RNAcentral.
GACGAACGCUGGCGGCACGCUUAACACAUGCAAGUCGAACGAAAGAAGAGAAGCUUGCUUUUCUGAUCUAGUGGCGAACGGGUGAGUAACACGUGAGCAAUCUGCCUUUCAGUGUGGGAUACCGUUUGGAAACGAUCGUUAAUACCGCAUAACAUAAUUUAACCGCAUGAUUUGGUUAGCAAAGAUUUAUCGCUGAAAGAUGAGCUGCCGUCUGAUUAGCUAGUGGGUAAGGUAACGGCUUACCAAGGGUACGCUGAGUAGCCGGAGUGGGGGGUUGCCCGCCCAGAGUGGGACUGAGGCACGGCACAGAUUCCGACGGGAGGCAGCAGUGAGAAAUAUUGCACGAUGGAGGAAAGUCUGAUGAAGCGCGGGCGCGGGAGGAAAGACGGUUGGAUGAAUGUAAACUUCUGCCUUCAGGGACGAAGAAAGACGGUAACGGAGGAGGAAGCACCGGCUAACUACGUG